Molecule: ribosomal RNA, 255 nt
Filed under: uncultured bacterium
Lineage: Bacteria
Description: partial 16S ribosomal RNA
Rfam family: Bacterial small subunit ribosomal RNA
Source: RNAcentral
UACGGAGGGUGCUAGCGUUGUUCGGAAUUACUGGGCGUAAAGAGCACGUAGGCGGGGCUCGUAAGUCGAUUGUGAAAGCCCCCGGGCUCAAUCCGGGAAUUGCAGUCGAAACUACGAGUCUUGAAUGCCCAAGAGGGUGACGGAAUUCCUGGUGUAGAAGUGAAAUUCGUAGAUAUCAGGAGGAACACCGGAGGCGAAGGCGGUUGCCUGGUGGUGCAUUGACGCUGAGGUGCGAAAGCGUGGGGAGCAAACAGG